RNAcentral lists this ribosomal RNA (468 nucleotides) under uncultured bacterium. RNAcentral's name for it is "partial 16S ribosomal RNA". It matches the Rfam family "Bacterial small subunit ribosomal RNA", at positions 28 to 507 of the family's 1533-position model. The record is from RNAcentral.
GACGAACGCUGGCGGCGUGCUUAACACAUGCAAGUCGAACGGAAAGGCCCUGCCUUUUUGCGCUGCUCUGGUUGCGACGGGGGAAGUAACACGUGAGUUACCUGCCCUUGACUUUGGGAUAUGUUAAGAAAACUUGGGCUCAUACCGGAUAGGAGCUCCUGCUGCAGGGUGGGGGUUGGAUGGUUUCGGCGGUUGGGGGUGGAAUCGCGGCCUAUCGGCUUGUUGCUUGGGUAGUGGCUUACCAAGGCUUUGACGGGUAGCCGGCCUGAGAGGAGGACCUGCCACGCUGGGACUGAGAUACGACCCGGACUAGAAUGGGAGGCAGCGGUGGGGAGUAUUGCACAAUGGGCGGAAGCCUGAUGCAGCAACGCCGCGUGGGGGAUGAGGGGCUUGGGGUUGUAUAGCGCUGUCGCCUGUGACGAGGCGUGAGUGACGGUAAUGGGUAAAGAAGCACCGGCUAACUACGUG